CUCCCCCCUUCUCGUUCGAUCUCCCUCUCCCGAUCUCAACCCUCUCUCUCGAUCUCCCCCUCACUCUCCCUACCUCUCUCUGUGUAAUAGGCCCACCGAAAACGGGUCCAGAACAGAUGACGAGAAUGAGUUCUGGGAGAAAGUGAGUGUGGCGGAGGGGAGGAAAGAAGCUAUGGUGGUGCUGUGGUGUUCUCAGUUGAAGGUUCUGUCUCACUCGUCUAUAGGGUGCUUUGUGUCGCACUCCAACAAAGAAAAACAGAAGCAGGAAGGACACUGAAGUGGCAUAUGCAGAAGGACAGAGAAGUUUACAUUUUCUUCAUUCUUCUUUUCACUUCUCUGAUAUUCCGUUGUAUUAAAGAUGUCUUGUACUAGAAAGAUUUGAUUCAUAACUUAGAAAAUCACAAAGCAACAAUAUUUUUGUGAAUACAAAUUCCUCAUGUUUAAAGUAAUCAAAUACCUGAUUGGUCAAAAGCUUCUCAAUCACCAUCUAUCAGCAUUGCCCGCAAUUUUCAUAUUUUUAUGCAAUCAGGCGGUCUUUUUUUCUUUUUUCUUUUGUAUGCUGCAGGUUGCAUUGUUGGACAAGGGGCUAUAAUAUUGACAUUUUCAAACUUUAUAUAUUGACAAGUUCAGUCUUUGCAUAAUCUAUAUAACACAAUGAAUUCACAAUUAGCAAGGGCUGAGCAACUCUCUGAUUACCUCUUAAAACAAAUGGAUGUGCUUAAUAUAGAGUCAAUGCCUGUAAAGAAACAGAAUGUAGCAAAAGAGUUGUUUGGUUCAAUUGGCCUAGCCUAUGAUAGUGAUGGCUUUUUUUUUUUUUGGUUUCUUUAAUGAAUUUCUAGUAUGUGUUGUGGUAUUUUUUCCUCCUUUAUUUGAUUAUGUUGUUAGGAUUUUGAUGUUUUGCUUGAUAUGAGUUGCAUUGAGUUGUGUUUUUUUUUUUUUUUUUUUUUUUUUGAGAAAUUGGCAGGCAUCAUUGGAAUGUGAAACGGGUUUAUCUAGUGUCAAUUGUAGACGAAUCAUUCUAUCCUCUUCUUCUUCUUCUUCUUUUUUGGGUUAGUUUUGGUCUUCUAUGAUUACUUUGUCAACUCUAUGAAUGGUUCAUUGCUUUCCGUAUUCUAUCGUUUCCACAUGCUUCUCUCUUAGUAGUUAGUUACUUGGAGUUCCGCAACAAUUUACUUUUUGUGGACAAGUAUAGCAGUAGGGAGUACUAUGUGAAAAUGCUCCAGGCCAUGGUCAGAUAAUUUCUUAUGUUAUUUGUAUUCUUUACUUGUCACAGUUAUGCAUGACUUGCGACUUAUUCGCACAGAUUUGAAGCCGGAAAAUAUUCUUCUUGUUUCUAUAGAAUAUGUGAAGGUGCCUGAUUCUAAGAAGGCUUCCUUCUACAAAUGUUCAGUCACCUGACAUAAAUGCACUGUAGUUCUAGAAAUGAGAAGAUGUGUGAAGUCAUGCGGGAUGUUGCAAACUAUUUUCCAACAGCAAUAAUUAGUGGAAGAUGACAUGAUAAGGUACUGGAGCAAUUAGCUACUUUGCAUGGAAAAUGAUCCAAUUUUGGACCUGUUUAUCUAAGUUAUCGUGCAUUGCAUUUCCAUACACUUGGCAUGCAUGUACUGUUCAUCUGCUAGGCAUUGUCACGGAUGGCACAUGGCCCAAAUAUACUAGUCAGUGCAUCGUAGCUGCCGAGUGGACUUUUGGGAUUACAAAUGUUCUGAAGACGGGUAUUGAUGCUGCCAAGUUCCUUGCAUAUUAUGAUAAGUUUACCAAAUUCAUUCUGUAAACCAAAGCUUAAACACUCUGCAACUAAAUGUUCAAACUCAGAGCUGUUGGAUGGUUGUAAUGAAUUCUCUAUAUCUUGGAUCCCCAUUCGCAUUGAGUUUGUGUUAGCAUUAUCAUCUAUUUUGAAGUCUUCGGGCUACUUUGACCCCAUUCCAUCUUGGUCACAUUCUUGUUUUUUUUUUUGGCUGACGUAUAUAUGGGGGCUAAUCCCUUCGCACUCAAUCUCUUAUACAAACUCUGCUAUUUGUAGUUGGCAUAUGGUGGUAUCAAUGGUUGUAGGACAAACUGUACAACUGCCCCAUUGUUCGAGGCAUUUGGAGGAGUGCCCUUUCAGUCAGGUCCAUAUGAGUCCAUCCAAAAAAAAAAAAAAAACAGGGGCAUGCAUUGGGUACAUCGCUGGUAUCAGUCAAAUACAUCCAAUACAACAUGGAGGCUAGAAUUUGAAUUUUGUUUUUGUUUUUGCUUUUUUUUUUUUUUUCAAAAUCUCUCCUUUUUUUAUUUUAUAAUAGGUGGACUGUUGUGUAUGUAAAACAAAUGAAUGGUCAAUAGAAUU
Long non-coding RNA from Magnolia sinica, 2323 nucleotides. RefSeq lists it as uncharacterized. The record is from RefSeq and is a predicted model, not a curated record. Lineage: Eukaryota; Viridiplantae; Streptophyta; Magnoliopsida; Magnoliales; Magnoliaceae. The transcript is spliced from 4 exons.